GUGUCCAAUACGGGAUUCGAUCCCGGGACGUUACGGUUGAAAACCGACGGUUUAGACCACUCGACCACCGAACA
Cordylochernes scorpioides is the source of this 74-nucleotide non-coding RNA. Lineage: Eukaryota; Metazoa; Arthropoda; Arachnida; Pseudoscorpiones; Chernetidae. The record is from the annotation of a GenBank genome assembly.